This 377-nucleotide unclassified non-coding RNA is filed under the name uncultured Micrococcales bacterium. RNAcentral's name for it is "contains 16S-23S intergenic spacer region". The record is from RNAcentral. Lineage: Bacteria; Bacillati; Actinomycetota; Actinomycetes; Micrococcales.
UCCGAGUUGACCCCGGCAGUCUCAUAUGAGUUCCCACCAUUACGUGCUGGCAACAUACGACGAGGGUUGCGCUCGUUGCGGGACUUAACCCAACAUCUCACGACACGAGCUGACGACAACCAUGCACCACCUGUAUACCGACCUUGCGGGGCGUACAUUUCUGCACGUUUCCGGUAUAUGUCAAGCCUUGGUAAGGUUCUUCGCGUUGCAUCGAAUUAAUCCGCAUGCUCCGCCGCUUGUGCGGGCCCCCGUCAAUUCCUUUGAGUUUUAGCCUUGCGGCCGUACUCCCCAGGCGGGGCACUUAAUGCGUUAGCUACGGCGCGGAAAACGUGGAAUGUCCCCCACACCUAGUGCCCAACGUUUACGGCAUGGACUAC